GACGAACGCUGGCGGCGUGCUUAACACAUGCAAGUCGAACGGAAAGGCCCUGCUUUUGUGGGGUGCUCGAGUGGCGAACGGGUGAGUAACACGUGAGUAACCUGCCCUUGACUUUGGGAUAACUUCAGGAAACUGGGGCUAAUACCGGAUAGGAGCUCCUGCUGCAUGUGGGGGGUUGGAAAGUUUCGGCGGUUGGGGAUGGACUCGCGGCUUAUCCGCUUGUUGGUGGGGUAGUGGCUUACCAAGGCUUUGACGGGUAGCCGGCCUGAGAGGGUUACCGGCCACCUGGGGACUGAGAUACGGACCAGAAUCCUACGGGAGGCAGCAGGGGGGAAUAUUGCACAACGGGCGGAAGCCUGAUGCAGCAACGCCGCGUGCGGGAUGACGGCCUUCGGGUUGUAAACCGCUUUCGCAUGUGACGAAGCGUGAGUGACGGUAAUGGGUAAAGAAGCACCGGCUAACUACGUG
This 468-nucleotide ribosomal RNA is filed under the name uncultured bacterium. Its description in RNAcentral is "partial 16S ribosomal RNA". It matches the Rfam family "Bacterial small subunit ribosomal RNA", at positions 28 to 507 of the family's 1533-position model. The record is from RNAcentral.